Long non-coding RNA from Papaver somniferum (opium poppy), 762 nucleotides. RefSeq lists it as uncharacterized. Lineage: Eukaryota; Viridiplantae; Streptophyta; Magnoliopsida; Ranunculales; Papaveraceae. The transcript is spliced from 5 exons. The record is from RefSeq and is a predicted model, not a curated record.
UGAUUCUUAUCAAAGAUGUUGCGUUUUUGAGUCUUGAUUUUGCCUUUGUUGGCACAAUUUAUUAAUCAAAGCAUUCUUUUUGAUUAGUAUAUUUUUUGCAGAGAUUAAUAUUGGUUCUUAACUAAGCUUUGUGCAUAAGACGUUUGAAGUUGCAUCAAUGGUUAUAUUAAUAUUCUUAGUGAAUCAGGAAGGUAGAUGCAGAAGUUGCCACAUUCAAGCUACAGAAAACACCAGAUUAUUCAUCGGUCAUUCCUACUAAAGCUUUUUUUUCAUCCGUAGGUUUCUUUUGCCUGAGAACAGUGGAGACUUAAAGAUGGAACAAAGUUUAUCAUUGUUAGCUGGAUAUGCACCAGAAAGAACAAUUUCACCGACGAAAAAGAAACAAUCAAUAGAUGCAUCAGCUGCUGACCUAACGGUCCUAACGUCAUGUUUCAAUGAAGCUGUUAUUUGUCAUGGGGCACUUAGCUAUCGAGAAGGUUGCAGUUGGGAAGACUAGAAUGUUGGUAUGGCUUGGUUUCACCAUUUAAAAGUUUUCAAACAAGUGCUUUGGAAAUGAUUCCUGAUUGUAGGAAAGGACGAUAACCACCAAUCCACUAUGAGCUAAAAGAAGCACAAUUGCGUAGCUGUGUAAAAAAAGAAUUACACAAGCGUCUAAUUUUAGCCAAUUGUAUAUUAAGUUGUUAAUCUUUCUCUUGAUUUAAAAUAUUACAAGUCAGACAUGUUUCGUAUGGAUGGUUGUCGUAUUUCUGGGAUAAAUCUUUU